RNAcentral lists this ribosomal RNA (780 nucleotides) under uncultured bacterium. RNAcentral's name for it is "bacterial SSU rRNA". It matches the Rfam family "Bacterial small subunit ribosomal RNA", at positions 57 to 832 of the family's 1533-position model. The record is from RNAcentral.
GCAGUCGAGCGGGGUGAUGUAGCUUGCUACAUUACCUAGCGGCGGACGGGUGAGUAAUGCUUAGGAAUCUGCCUAUUAGUGGGGGACAACAUUCCGAAAGGAAUGCUAAUACCGCAUACGUCCUACGGGAGAAAGCAGGGGAUCUUCGGACCUUGCGCUAAUAGAUGAGCCUAAGUCAGAUUAGCUAGUUGGUGGGGUAAAGGCCUACCAAGGCGACGAUCUGUAGCGGGUCUGAGAGGAUGAUCCGCCACACUGGGACUGAGACACGGCCCAGACUCCUACGGGAGGCAGCAGUGGGGAAUAUUGGACAAUGGGCGCAAGCCUGAUCCAGCCAUGCCGCGUGUGUGAAGAAGGCCUUUUGGUUGUAAAGCACUUUAAGCGAGGAGGAGGCUACUUGGAUUAAUACUCUAGGAUAGUGGACGUUACUCGCAGAAUAAGCACCGGCUAACUCUGUGCCAGCAGCCGCGGUAAUACAGAGGGUGCGAGCGUUAAUCGGAUUUACUGGGCGUAAAGCGUGCGUAGGCGGCUUUUUAAGUCGGAUGUGAAAUCCCUGAGCUUAACUUAGGAAUUGCAUUCGAUACUGGGAAGCUAGAGUAUGGGAGAGGAUGGUAGAAUUCCAGGUGUAGCGGUGAAAUGCGUAGAGAUCUGGAGGAAUACCGAUGGCGAAGGCAGCCAUCUGGCCUAAUACUGACGCUGAGGUACGAAAGCAUGGGGAGCAAACGGGAUUAGAUACCCUGGUAGUCCAUGCCGUAAACGAUGUCUACUAGCCGUUGGGGCCUU